Molecule: ribosomal RNA, 1288 nt
Filed under: Salmonella enterica
Lineage: Bacteria; Pseudomonadati; Pseudomonadota; Gammaproteobacteria; Enterobacterales; Enterobacteriaceae
Also listed under: 2 other names
Description: bacterial LSU rRNA
Rfam family: Bacterial large subunit ribosomal RNA
Source: RNAcentral
AGACCCGAAACCCGGUGAUCUAGCCAUGGGCAGGUUGAAGGUUGGGUAACACUAACUGGAGGACCGAACCGACUAAUGUUGAAAAAUUAGCGGAUGACCUGUGGCUGGGGGUGAAAGGCCAAUCAAACCGGGAGAUAGCUGGUUCUCCCCGAAAGCUAUUUAGGUAGCGCCUCGUGAAUUCAUCUCCGGGGGUAGAGCACUGUUUCGGCUAGGGGGCCAUCCCGGCUUACCAACCCGAUGCAAACUGCGAAUACCGGAGAAUGUUAUCACGGGAGACACACGGCGGGUGCUAACGUCCGUCGUGAAGAGGGAAACAACCCAGACCGCCAGCUAAGGUCCCAAAGUCAUGGUUAAGUGGGAAACGAUGUGGGAAGGCCCAGACAGCCAGGAUGUUGGCUUAGAAGCAGCCAUCAUUUAAAGAAAGCGUAAUAGCUCACUGGUCGAGUCGGCCUGCGCGGAAGAUGUAACGGGGCUAAACCAUGCACCGAAGCUGCGGCAGCGAACGUAUCACCCAAGACAACUUUACGGAGUUGACGAUUGACGGAGCGAAGCGACGUCAAAGCGUUCAUUAAAGUCGAGUUGGCUUAGGGAUACGUUCGUUGGGUAGGGGAGCGUUCUGUAAGCCUGUGAAGGUGUGUCGUGAGGCAUGCUGGAGGUAUCAGAAGUGCGAAUGCUGACAUAAGUAACGAUAAAGCGGGUGAAAAGCCCGCUCGCCGGAAGACCAAGGGUUCCUGUCCAACGUUAAUCGGGGCAGGGUGAGUCGACCCCUAAGGCGAGGCCGAAAGGCGUAGUCGAUGGGAAACGGGUUAAUAUUCCCGUACUUGGUGUUACUGCGAAGGGGGGACGGAGAAGGCUAUGUUGGCCGGGCGACGGUUGUCCCGGUUUAAGCGUGUAGGUGUGUGUUCCAGGUAAAUCCGGUUCACUUUAACACUGAGGCGUGACGACGAGGCACUACGGUGCUGAAGCAACAAAUGCCCUGCUUCCAGGAAAAGCCUCUAAGCAUCAGGUAACAUCAAAUCGUACCCCAAACCGACACAGGUGGUCAGGUAGAGAAUACCAAGGCGCUUGAGAGAACUCGGGUGAAGGAACUAGGCAAAAUGGUGCCGUAACUUCGGGAGAAGGCACGCUGACACGUAGGUGAAGUGAUUUACUCAUGGAGCUGAAGUCAGUCGAAGAUACCAGCUGGCUGCAACUGUUUAUUAAAAACACAGCACUGUGCAAACACGAAAGUGGACGUAUACGGUGUGACGCCUGCCCGGUGCCGGAAGGUUAAUUGAUGGGGUCAGCG